CUGGCUUCGGCAGCAGCCGCAAACACGCCCCUUUUGCCCGGCAGGUACCGGGCACGGAACGGGAUUUCAGAAAAAUAGCUGAAGUGAUUUUCCUGCAAGCACAGCAACUUAUAACAUUCUGAAUGCUGAAAAGAAAUGGCCAAGGAUCAUUUGGAUGAACUUGAAUUGAACUGUGAACUGAAGAUCCUAGUUCAGGUGAUGGAACAAUCCAGUACUUUCACAGACUCUUUACAUUAGUUCAGAAACGUCCUGAUGCUACGAUGUCAACAAUGUGGGUGAAUGUGCUUCCUGAAUGAUCUUCUUAAGAAGCAGAUUGGCAGUUCUUUACCUUUCCAGAAUGUGCAGUCUAUGCAUGUCUUUUUAACAGCCUGUUUUCAUCCUUUGCCAUCAAGUACUCAAGAAAAAGAAGAAAAACUAGCCUCGAUCAGGGUG
Rhineura floridana is the source of this 432-nucleotide long non-coding RNA. RefSeq lists it as uncharacterized. The transcript is spliced from 4 exons. The record is from RefSeq and is a predicted model, not a curated record. Lineage: Eukaryota; Metazoa; Chordata; Lepidosauria; Squamata; Rhineuridae.